AUUGAACGCUGGCGGCAUGCUUUACACAUGCAAGUCGAACGGCAGCGCGGGCUUCGGCCUGGCGGCGAGUGGCGAACGGGUGGGUAAUGCAUCGGAACGUGCCCAGUAGUGGGGGAUAGCCCGGCGAAAGCCGGAUUAAUACCGCAUACGACCUGAGGGUGAAAGCGGGGGACCGAAAGGCCUCGCGCUAUUGGAGCGGCCGAUGUCGGAUUAGCUAGUUGGUGGGGUAAAGGCUUACCAAGGCGACGAUCCGUAGCUGGUCUGAGAGGACGACCAGCCACACUGGGACUGAGACACGGCCCAGACUCCUACGGGAGGCAGCAGUGGGGAAUUUUGGACAAUGGGGGCAACCCUGAUCCAGCCAUGCCGCGUGCGGGAAGAAGGCCUUCGGGUUGUAAACCGCUUUUGUUCGGGAAGAAAUCCUCUGGGCUAAUACCCCGGGGGGAUGACGGUACCGGAAGAAUAAGCACCGGCUAACUACGUG
This 484-nucleotide ribosomal RNA is filed under the name uncultured bacterium. RNAcentral describes it as "partial 16S ribosomal RNA". It matches the Rfam family "Bacterial small subunit ribosomal RNA", at positions 28 to 507 of the family's 1533-position model. The record is from RNAcentral.